RNAcentral lists this ribosomal RNA (484 nucleotides) under uncultured bacterium. Its description in RNAcentral is "partial 16S ribosomal RNA". It matches the Rfam family "Bacterial small subunit ribosomal RNA", at positions 30 to 507 of the family's 1533-position model. The record is from RNAcentral.
AUUGAACGCUGGCGGCAGGCCUAACACAUGCAAGUCGAGCGGAUGAAGGGAGCUUGCUCCUGGAUUCAGCGGCGGACGGGUGAGUAAUGCCUAGGAAUCUGCCUGGUAGUGGGUGAUAACGUCCGGAAACGGGCGCUAAUACCGCAUACGUCCUGAGGGAGAAAGUGGGUGAUCUUCGGACCUCACGCUAUCAGAUGAGCCUAGGUCGGAUUAGCUAGUUGGUGGGGUAAAGGCCUACCAAGGCGACGAUCCGUAACUGGUCUGAGAGGAUGAUCAGUCACACUGGAACUGAGACACGGUCCAGACUCCUACGGGAGGCAGCAGUGGGGAAUAUUGGACAAUGGGCGAAAGCCUGAUCCAGCCAUGCCGCGUGUGUGAAGAAGGUCUUCGGAUUGUAAAGCACUUUAAGUUGGGAGGAAGGGCAGUAAGUUAAUACCUUGCUGUUUUGACGUUACCAACAGAAUAAGCACCGGCUAACUUCGUG